ACCGAACCAGGUUUGAUAAGAGCCACAUCAACGAAACGUAUACAUUUGUUUGAAACACAGAGUCGCUAUCCGCUUAAACCCUACACAAAAUCCUCACCAUUUCGCGCUUCUUCAUUCUCUAUCACCACCACCUAGAGUGAGAGAGAGACUGUGCUGACAAUGGCCUGGCGUGGUUCGCUCUCCAGAUCGUUCAUCUCCACCGCUAGGGCUUCAACCAUCCGCUCUUCGCCGCCACUCCCUCGCCUCCGUCCGCCGCCCCUCGCUGCUCCUCGCCUCCAACCUCGCCGCCUCUCCUUCGCCAAUCCCAGGAAUCUGGGAGAAUUAGGAUGCGCUCAGUCGCUUUUGCCGCUGCACGGUGCGGUCCGCCUUACAUCUCACCUCACAGUCAACGUGCGGGCGUGUUGCGAGCUGUCUCACGGUACCUUCUGCCGAACUUGUCAAGAUCGCUAAUAGUUUCUUUGGUGGAAUGGAAAAGAUGGGUGAUUUGCGGCGCUUUCAAUCAUCGGGAGGCAGGACAAUGAUGGCGCAUUGUACUUGAACAUGCCGUAGUGGGUGCUACAAAAAUUUGGGGCAGUCGUAAUUAGUAGGGGUAUCCUGUGGGAAGUUUGUUUUUGGAGUAGGAAAAACUAAUAAUAGUACCUCAUCUUUUUUGCUUUUGGCAAAAAGAAACUUGGAAUUUACCGUCUUUCUGGGCAAGUUGAAAGCUGAAGCUUGAGAUAUCUUUGUAGGUUCUUUCAUUAUAAUAAUCAUUCAUACUUGAUGGUUCUGCAAUUUGUAAUUGCUUGCUUUUAGUUGUUGAACCUGGUCUGUUCUGGCAUCAUGCACCUUUGUUGAAUUUCGUAUGCUGCAUUAGAUGCAGUUUCUUUCUGAUUUAUAUAUGUGAUUGAAGAAAACAA
RNA transcript from Cornus florida, 896 nucleotides. RefSeq lists it as uncharacterized. Lineage: Eukaryota; Viridiplantae; Streptophyta; Magnoliopsida; Cornales; Cornaceae. The record is from RefSeq and is a predicted model, not a curated record. The transcript is spliced from 4 exons.